AGAGUUUGAUCCUGGCUCAGAACGAACUUUGGCGGCGUGGCUAAGACAUGCAAGUCGAACGAGCUAGGCAAUUGAGCAAUCGAACGCCUAGUUAGUGGCGAAAGGGUUAGUAAUGGCUAGGUAACGUACCCUGUACUUCGGGAUAGCGUCUGAGUGCUUGCACUCUUCCGAAAGGGGCAUUAAUACCGAAUAAUAUCCCCCGUCGAUGGGCGGGUGAUCAAAGAUUUAUCGGUGCAGGAGCGGCCUAGUUCCUAUCAGCUAGUUGGUGAGGUAACGGCCCACCAAGGCGAUGACGGGUAGCGGGACUGAGAGGUUGGCCCGCAACAUCGGGACUGAGACACUGCCCGGACCUCCACGGAGGGCUGCAGUAACGAAUAUUGGGCAAUGAGCGAAAGCUUGACCCAGCGACGCCGCGUGUAGGAGGAAGUCCUUCGGGAUGUAAACUACUGUCAGGGGUAAGAAAGUCCGUUUCGGCGGAUUGAUCCAACCCAGAGGAAGUCACGGCUAACUUCGUGCCAGCAGCCGCGGUAAGACGAAGGUGGCAAGCGUUGUUCGGAAUCACUGGGCUUAAAGCGUGUGUAGGCGGAAGCGUAAGCGUUUUGUGAAAUCCCUCGGCUCAACCGAGGAAUUGCUUGACGAACUGCGCUUCUUGAGGCAGGUAGGGGUGCGAGGAACUCUUGGUGGAGCGGUGGAAUGCGUAGAUAUCAAGAGGAACGCCGGUGGAGAAGUCGUUGCACUGGGCCUGUCCUGACGCUGAGACACGAAAGCGUGGGGAGCGAACGGAAGUAGAUACCCUCGGUAGUCCACGCCGUAAAC
This 816-nucleotide ribosomal RNA is filed under the name uncultured bacterium. RNAcentral's name for it is "bacterial SSU rRNA". It matches the Rfam family "Bacterial small subunit ribosomal RNA", at positions 8 to 807 of the family's 1533-position model. The record is from RNAcentral.